RNAcentral lists this ribosomal RNA (520 nucleotides) under uncultured Acaulospora. RNAcentral's name for it is "SSU rRNA". It matches the Rfam family "Eukaryotic small subunit ribosomal RNA", at positions 569 to 1090 of the family's 1831-position model. The record is from RNAcentral. Lineage: Eukaryota; Fungi; Glomeromycota; Glomeromycetes; Diversisporales; Acaulosporaceae.
AGCAGCCGCGGUAAUUCCAGCUCCAAUAGCGUAUAUUAAAGUUGUUGCAGUUAAAAGCUCGUAGUUGAAUUUCGGGGUUUAUCCGUUGGUCGGGCUUUUUGGUCUGUACUGGCGUGAUGGAUUCCUACCUUCUGAAUAACCGGCAUGCCAUUAAUUUGGUGCGCCGGGGAAGCAGGACUGUUACCUUGAAAAAAUUAGAGUGCUUAAAGCAGGCUCACGCUUGAAUACAUUAGCAUGGAAUAAUGAAAUAGGACGUUCGAUCCUAUUUUGUUGGUUUCUAGGAUCAACGUAAUGAUUAAUAGGGAUAGUUGGGGGCAUUAGUAUUCAAUUGUCAGAGGUGAAAUUCUUGGAUUUAUUGAAGACUAACUACUGCGAAAGCAUUUGCCAAGGAUGUUUUCAUUAAUCAAGAACGAAAGUUAGGGGAUCGAAGACGAUCAGAUACCGUCGUAGUCUUAACCAUAAACUAUGCCGACUAGGGAUCGGAUGAUGUUAAUUUUUUAAUGACUCAUUCGGCGCCUUA